This 341-nucleotide unclassified non-coding RNA is filed under the name soil metagenome. Its description in RNAcentral is "partial contains 5.8S ribosomal RNA, internal transcribed spacer 2, and large subunit ribosomal RNA". The stretch from base 1 to 120 matches the Rfam family "5.8S ribosomal RNA", at positions 35 to 154 of the family's 154-position model. The record is from RNAcentral.
GAUGAAGAACGUAGCGAAAUGCGAUAAGUAGUGUGAAUUGCAGAAUUCAGUGAAUCAUCGAAUCUUUGAACGCACAUUGCGCCCUUUGGUAUUCCAAAGGGCAUGCCUGUUCGAGCGUCAUUUGUACCCUCAAGCUUUGCUUGGUGUUGGGCGUCUUGUCUCUAGCUUUGCUGGAGACUCGCCUUAAAGUAAUUGGCAGCCGGCCUACUGGUUUCGGAGCGCAGCACAAGUCGCACUCUCUAUCAGCAAAGGUCUAGCAUCCAUUAAGCCUUUUUUUUCAACUUUUGACCUCGGAUCAGGUAGGGAUACCCGCUGAACUUAAGCAUAUCAAUAAGCGAGGA